CAGGGGCUCCAGUACGGACAUAUUUUAUACACCUCCCGCAUUAAUUGAUACACUCUGUGAUGACACAGCCUCUGUGUCUCCCCUAUUGUUGGUUCUCUCCUAGCCACCAUCACACUGUAGAUAACAAAUAGAGGGUGGGCAGAUGGAUAAAUGCAGGAUUAGUGGCGUGGAGAUGUUGGUCUAGUGUUCAUUCCCCUAUGACUGGACUUGGCAAAUUGAAGCAGAGCAGAAGGGGAAGUGGUAAAGACAAGUUCCUGGAUCUUAUUCAGAGCUCAGAUAUUCCCAUCACUGCCAUCUUUUAUGGGUCGUGUUUUCACUCAGCCUAUCAGGAAAUGUAUGUGAUUUCCUGUAAGGAUCUGAAUGAACUUAAGGUGUCAGAAGAAACAUGGGACUGUCAUCUGGAGGAAUGUCACUGGUGAAAUUCUUUCUGGAAACCCAUCCUUCCAGGAGAGAGAUACAUGACAUCCAUACUCUUUCUCACCGAAACACAUCUCUGAAGAGAGAGGAGUGGAUGGUCUCAGCAUUUCCGGGGCUCAUCAAAAAAGCUCCCUAGUAAGUCAUACCUUUGAGUAAGCACCUGCUUUGGCACUUGACUGAAUAAAAACAGAUGGAAAGCUGAGCAAUAGCCCUGAAGACCUGCAACUGAGUCGCAAAUGUGCUCCCAUGACAUUGAGGCACUGUAACAAGGGCCUAGAGGAGUCUGUCGUUUGGGAGGAAGGGAAGAAAGAAGAGACACAUCCCUUGAUCCUCUGCUGGUGACCAGACAUCAGAAAAAUACAUCCACUCUGCCCUGUGAAAGCCUUUCCGAGGUCCAGACAGACACAACUGGGCACUAAUUAAAGCAGUGAAAGCAUAUUUUAUUUUCUAUUUUAUUCGGUAACUACUGACAGCAGGGGGAAAGUGGGACUCCAUUUCAUUCGU
Molecule: long non-coding RNA, 921 nt
Organism: Canis lupus familiaris (dog)
Lineage: Eukaryota; Metazoa; Chordata; Mammalia; Carnivora; Canidae
Exons: 3
Source: RefSeq, a predicted model, not a curated record